UAGAAAUUAUCUUGGCUAAUUUGCCGGGCAUUUCAUGCUGAAAGGCCCAAAUUUUGUCUCUCUUGCCCGGUUGCACGUCCCCAUUCUCUCCCCUCCUUUCCCCUUCAAAUUCUUGUUCCGCAGCCGGAGCCCCCGACAACCCGUUGUUCCUUUAUUUCCCAGAACGCCCCACCAAGCAACCAAGUGGACAUACAGAUUUUUGACCCCAUUCGAAGAACUCUCUGUCAAAGAAAAGAAAGCCCUUUUGCUCCCAGGAACAUAGUGUCUAAGAAGGGGAAGUAAUUGGGGCCCCCAUCAUUGCAGUUAUUGUAAAAACCUGACAAAAAGGCAAAUAGGAGCAAUUUCUAAUGAGCUCCGUAAAGAAAGCUGACUCCUCCAUUUGCAUGACAUUUGCAAUGGUGAAGAUUGCGCUUUGGCCAUAUUUUUCUCGACUACUAUGCUCCAAAAUCCGCAUAAUUCUCUCUCUAUCUGAAUGUGCCUACCCCAUACCCACAACCACCACUACCGCUGCCUUCUCCUUUCUUUACUCUCACCUGACAAAGAGAAAAGGACCAUGUGAUGCUGCUUUGAUUUUUGCUGAGAAUGCUCGUGAAUCAGCCAACUCUUGUUCGCAGAGACCCUCCAUCCUCUUUCCCUUUCCUUUGUUGGGCUCCUUCGACCACCAUUCUUCUGCCCAAAACAAAGGAAAGGUUGUUUAGGAACCAAAUAUUGGUGGCGGUGCAAGUUCAAAAGUUGGCACCUGCAGAUUGAGGAGUUUGAUGGAAGACUUGAAAGCCAGAAAUGUGCAACUGUAUAUAUCUAGAUGCAGCCACCAUUCUCAUUUUUGCCACAUUUUUCUUUCAUUGCAAAUGCAGCCAUCAAUCCCAUAACGCAAAUGAUACUUCCUUUUCCGGAGUCGUAGUAUUGUAGAGAAUCUGCUAACGUUAUUGCAGGAAAGAGAUUGCGGCUAGCUUCAUCGAAAAGCCAAAAUUCAAAAAAUCUGCUUAAAGCGCCUGUAACAAUGUCUGCUGAGAUUGUGGGAGGCAAUGAAGAUCUUUUGAUAAUCAUACUGUCAAAAUUGCCAGCAAGUCAACUGUUACAAUUCAAAGUUUCACAAGACAAUGGCAUGCUCUCAUCUCGAGUUCCAGACUUGCUCUUCUGCACUUCAAUCCCAGUGCCAUCUCUGGUUUCCUUUUCACCACAACAGCAGGAGGUCAGCUCAUUCCUCUCCAUGGUAAUUCUGUAUCAGUUAAACCCCCUCUAGCAAAGCUUCCUCACAUUAGCCCAGAUAUGAAAAUUUUGCACUCUUGCAAUGGCUUAUUGCUUUGUGGUGAUACUUGGUUGAGCAAUUGGAAUGUCGUCCUCAGUCUCUACCUAUAUAAUCCUACUCUUGGUUGGCAUAUUCAGAUCCCGAGUUCUGAAGGCAUGAGGAGAGACUUACUUUAUGAUAUUUUAAAUGAGCAUUAUUGGAAUUUGGCUUUUGAUCCUCUUGAAUCAUCCUCCUAUAAGAUCAUUGACUUUUCUAGGCCUAAAUUUGAGUCUAGUUGCUAUCGUUACAGUAUUGAAAUCUAUUCAUCAGAGACAGGACUGUGGAAGUUAGUCAACAAUGAUAUACUUUCAGGGGAUGAUUUGAAAUUGUCCAUUAACUUUUACAGAGGGGUACUCCUGAAUGGGAUAAUUUAUUGGCCUUCUUUUGGUCGUCGAACUACCUUGUGCUUUGAUGUAGCUAAAGAAUCAAUAAAGUCUAUACCCAUGCCUCCAAAUGGAAUUUGGCCGUACUGCAAUUCAUUUUUUGUGGAGUCUGGCGGUCAUUUAUAUCAUGUUGUGCAUCAAGAGUCACAAUGUUUUGUCCAUGAGAUGGAGGAUAGUUGUUCGGGGUGGCUUCUCAAAUAUUCUGUUGAUAUGGAUGCAGUUUUGGGUGCAUGUCCCUCAAUGGUUAGGGAGAGGGCUGGUUCUGAUAAAUGCCCAUAUCUUGUGUUGUCCUUCAUCCCUAGAGUGGAUCAAAAAGAUGAAUUGGUGUUCUACAUUGCUGGUUGUGCUAUGUAUUAUGACAUCAACCAAGUGAGUUGCAGGAAAAUUUGUGAUCUGAAUGACAGUUGCUUCGAUUGUUAUAUCACCAGAAGAUAUAUAGGGAUUGAUGUUCAUAAACACAUUGAGGGCCUGAUUACCCUUCCUGGAUGUCGCGUCUAGUCUUGCUUGAGGUUUCUGCCUUUUGGGUGAUAUAUCUCUGUCCCCCUUUACACGUCAGACAUAUCAAUAUUUGGAAUCAUAGAGAGUAUUAGUUGCUUACUUUCUGUGCAUAUGUUUCUGAAAUUUUGCUCGUCCUUGCAUCAAAAUUGGGUGUUCAGUUUACUCUCAUACCUUCAGUCGUAAAAACUUGGGAUAGCGGUGUCAUAAUCUAUCUGUAAAGGCCAUUUCACUCGUAAUAUUAUGCUGCUCGCAAAAUAUGGAUCCGAGUUCAAGAAGGGAUUGACCUCUCAAGCGGUAUGCUGGACGCAAGGAAACAAUGUAACAUGUUCAGUUCACUGUUGGUGCCGGAAGAAAUUUGUCCCAUCAAUCGUCGACUUUGAGAAGGGAGCUGAUAGGCAGACUGACGUACAGAUCAUAGCGUUUAGCCGGGGCAAGAAUCUCAAUGGAUCAGCAUAGUUUUCUUUCCAGUUCCUUCCCCUCCUUUAGAUGCUCUUCCUUGAGAUUUCUUGAAGAACCUGCUGUAGUAAUGUAUGCUGGUUGAAGGCUGAACGUGUAAAUAUGAUUAUUUCUACCUUUGGAUUUGUACCUUCUAUUUCUGUGUCUUAUUUUAUCUACCAAACUGGUCUUUUGUUCUGAUCAAUUGCUACAUUCCUUCUCUUAGCAUCAUUUCAUUCUGUCAGUUUUCUUAGA
RNA transcript from Coffea eugenioides, 2859 nucleotides. It is a transcript of the gene named F-box protein At5g07610-like, with no coding region annotated. NCBI's taxonomy places the organism in Eukaryota, Viridiplantae, Streptophyta, Magnoliopsida, Gentianales, Rubiaceae. The record is from RefSeq and is a predicted model, not a curated record. The transcript is spliced from 5 exons.